This 71-nucleotide transfer RNA is filed under the name Dipodomys ordii (Ord's kangaroo rat). It matches the Rfam family "tRNA". Rfam says of the family: Transfer RNA (tRNA) molecules are approximately 80 nucleotides in length. Their secondary structure includes four short double-helical elements and three loops (D, anti-codon, and T loops). Lineage: Eukaryota; Metazoa; Chordata; Mammalia; Rodentia; Heteromyidae. The record is from Rfam by way of RNAcentral.
GUGGAUGUAGCUCAGUGGUAGAGUAUUUGCUUGGCCUGUACAAAGCCCUGGGUUCAAUCCCCAGCACUGCA